RNAcentral lists this long non-coding RNA (317 nucleotides) under Homo sapiens (human). Its description in RNAcentral is "HSALNT0228999". Lineage: Eukaryota; Metazoa; Chordata; Mammalia; Primates; Hominidae. The record is from RNAcentral.
GGGGUUUUACCAUGUUAGCCGGGAUGGUCUCGAUCUCCUGACCUCGUGAUCUGCUGAUCUUGGCCUCCCAAAGUGCUGGGAUUACAGGUGUGAGCCACCAUGCCCAGCCUGGACAUGCUUCUUUUCUUAGCUAGUAGGUGAAACCCUACUCAUUCUUGUAUUCAUACACUCACAUUGUUUCAAAGUAACAAGUGUGAUAAUUGAAGGGAUGGUGUACAGGCUUCUACAAGCUACACUGUGAAUGAGAUGGUGUCCUCUCACCACGGCCCUUUCCACCUCCUCUCCACCCUUCUGGAGCCACUUGAGGCAUUGACCCU